GUUUACCGUAGCUUAGGAACCACUGAGUCUUUGGAAGGUUUGACACAGCACGGAGAAUUGGGGAAGAGUCAUUGCAGUCGGAGUUGACAGGAGCAUUUUGGGUCAUGGCCUCGGUUUAAAGGCGUCACCAAUCCACGCCCUAUCAGCUUGAAUUUAUGGGGGAGUUGCACAGGUCCGGUGGCCACGGAUGAAGUGCUGGUUGUCUAGAGUCGGGAC
This is a long non-coding RNA of Entelurus aequoreus (snake pipefish), 216 nucleotides long. RefSeq lists it as uncharacterized. The record is from RefSeq and is a predicted model, not a curated record. The transcript is spliced from 3 exons. NCBI's taxonomy places the organism in Eukaryota, Metazoa, Chordata, Actinopteri, Syngnathiformes, Syngnathidae.